This 464-nucleotide ribosomal RNA is filed under the name uncultured bacterium. RNAcentral's name for it is "bacterial SSU rRNA". It matches the Rfam family "Bacterial small subunit ribosomal RNA", at positions 28 to 501 of the family's 1533-position model. The record is from RNAcentral.
GACGAACGCUGGCGGCGUGCCUAACACAUGCAAGUCGAGCGGAGACAGUGAGUAGCUUGCUAUGAGCUGUUUUAGCGGCGGACGGGUGAGUAACGCGUGAGCAACCUUUCCCAGACAGGGGAAUAACACACCGAAAGGUGUACUAAUACCGCAUAAGACCACGGGAUCACAUGGUUCUGAGGUAAAAGAUUUAUCGGUUUGGGGUGGGCUCGCGUCCGAUUAGGUAGUUGGUGAGGUAACGGCCCACCAAGCCGACGAUCGGUAGCCGACCUGAGAGGGUGAUCGGCCACAUUGGGACUGAGACACGGCCCAAACUCCUACGGGAGGCAGCAGUGGGGAAUAUUGGGCAAUGGGGGGAACCCUGACCCAGCAACGCCGCGUGGAGGAAGAAGGUUUUCGGAUCGUAAACUCCUGUCCUUGGAGACGAGUAGAAGACGGUAUCCAAGGAGGAAGCCCCGGCUAAC